Small nucleolar RNA from Ailuropoda melanoleuca (giant panda), 205 nucleotides. Its record names the gene SNORA73. It matches the Rfam family "Small nucleolar RNA SNORA73 family". From Rfam's summary of the family: U17 (SNORA73A and SNORA73B) also known as E1 belongs to the H/ACA class of small nucleolar RNAs (snoRNAs). Vertebrate U17 is intron-encoded and ranges in length from 200-230 nucleotides, longer than most snoRNAs. Lineage: Eukaryota; Metazoa; Chordata; Mammalia; Carnivora; Ursidae. The record is from Ensembl.
CUAAUGUGGAUACUCCCAGGAGGUCACUCUCCCUGGGCUCUGUCCAGGUGGUGAACAGAAGCUUAGGGCUCUGCCCCAUGACAUACAGUCCCUUUCCACAAUGUUGGAGAUGAAGCCAGGCCUUGAGUCUGUGCCUGCAUAUUCCUACAGCUUCUCAGAGUCCUGUGGACAAUGACUGAGGAGACAAACCAUGCAGGAAACAGCU